GACGAACGCUGGCGGCGUGCCUAAUACAUGCAAGUAGAACGCACAGUUUAUACCGUAGCUUGCUACACCAUAAACUGUGAGUUGCGAACGGGUGAGUAACGCGUAGGUAACCUGCCUGGUAGCGGGGGAUAAUUAUUGGAAACGAUAGCUAAUACCGCAUAAUAUUGAUUAUUGCAUGAUAAUUGAUUGAAAGAUGCUAUUGCAUCACUACCAGAUGGACCUGCGUUGUAUUAGCUAGUAGGUGAGGUAACGGCUCACCUAGGCGACGAUACAUAGCCGACCUGAGAGGGUGAUCGGCCACACUGGGACUGAGACACGGCCCAGACUCCUACGGGAGGCAGCAGUAGGGAAUCUUCGGCAAUGGACGAAAGUCUGACCGAGCAACGCCGCGUGAGUGAAGAAGGUUUUCGGAUCGUAAAGCUCUGUUGUAAGAGAAGAACGGGUGUGAGAGUGGAAAGUUCACACUGUGACGGUAUCUUACCAGAAAGGGACGGCUAACUACGUG
This 505-nucleotide ribosomal RNA is filed under the name uncultured bacterium. RNAcentral describes it as "partial 16S ribosomal RNA". It matches the Rfam family "Bacterial small subunit ribosomal RNA", at positions 28 to 507 of the family's 1533-position model. The record is from RNAcentral.